This is a non-coding RNA of Castor canadensis (American beaver), 402 nucleotides long. NCBI's taxonomy places the organism in Eukaryota, Metazoa, Chordata, Mammalia, Rodentia, Castoridae. The record is from the annotation of a RefSeq genome assembly.
AUGCACCUCGGCCUUCUCUGUUGUGUGGCCCUUUAUUUCUGGGGAGCAGUUUCCACGGACACUGAGGUCACCCAAAGUCCUCGACAUGUGGUCAAACAGAAAGCAAAGAUCGACUGCAUCCCUGUAAAAGGACAUAGUUAUGUGUACUGGUAUCGCAAGAAACUGGAAGAAGAGCUCAAGUUUUUACUUUACUUUCAGAAUGAAGACAUCAUGGAGAAAACGGAAUUUAUCAAUGAGCGAGUUUCUGCUCAGUGCCCCGCAAACUCCUCCUGUAGUGUGGAGAUCCAGUCCACUGAGCUAGCAGACUCAGGGCUGUACUUCUGUGCCAGCAGCCAGUACACAGUGAUGAAUGCUGGCUUUCAGCAGAACUCAAACUCAUCAUGGACCCCGCUCAGGAAAUAA